This 492-nucleotide ribosomal RNA is filed under the name uncultured bacterium. RNAcentral describes it as "partial 16S ribosomal RNA". It matches the Rfam family "Bacterial small subunit ribosomal RNA", at positions 29 to 507 of the family's 1533-position model. The record is from RNAcentral.
AGUGAACGCUGGCGGUAGGCCUAACACAUGCAAGUCGAACGGCAGCACAGUAAGAGCUUGCUCUUACGGGUGGCGAGUGGCGGACGGGUGAGGAAUACAUCGGAAUCUACUUUUUCGUGGGGGAUAACGUAGGGAAACUUACGCUAAUACCGCAUACGACCUACGGGUGAAAGCAGGGGAUCUUCGGACCUUGCGCGAUUGAAUGAGCCGAUGUCGGAUUAGCUAGUUGGCGGGGUAAAGGCCCACCAAGGCCACGAUCCGUAGCUGGUCUGAGAGGAUGAUCAGCCACACUGGAACUGAGGCACGGUCCAGACUCCUACGGGAGGCAGCAGUGGGGAAUAUUGGACAAUGGGCGCAAGCCUGAUCCAGCCAUACCGCGUGGGUGAAGAAGGCCUUCGGGUUGUAAAGCCCUUUUGUUGGGAAAGAAAAGCAGCAGGUUAAUACCCCGCUGUUCUGACGGUACCCAAAGAAUAAGCACCGGCUAACUUCGUG